This 497-nucleotide ribosomal RNA is filed under the name uncultured bacterium. Its description in RNAcentral is "partial 16S ribosomal RNA". It matches the Rfam family "Bacterial small subunit ribosomal RNA", at positions 28 to 507 of the family's 1533-position model. The record is from RNAcentral.
GAUGAACGCUGGCGGCGUGCCUAAUACAUGCAAGUCGAGCGAACGGACGAGAAGCUUGCUUCUCUGAUGUUAGCGGCGGACGGGUGAGUAACACGUGGAUAACCUACCUAUAAGACUGGGAUAACUUCGGGAAACCGGAGCUAAUACCGGAUGAUAUUUUGAACCGCAUGGUUCAAAAGUGAAAGACGGUCUUGCUGUCACUUAUAGAUGGAUCCGCGCUACAUUAGCUAGUUGGUAAGGUAACGGCUUACCAAGGCAACGAUGCAUAGCCGACCUGAGAGGGUGAUCGGCCACACUGGAACUGGGACACGGUCCAGACUCCUACGGGAGGCAGCAGUAGGGAAUCUUCCGCAAUGGGCGAAAGCCUGACGGAGCAACGCCGCGUGAGUGAUGAAGGUCUUCGGAUCGUAAAACUCUGUUAUUAGGGAAGAACAUAUGUGUAAGUAACUGUGCACAUCUUGACGGUACCUAAUCAGAAAGCCACGGCUAACUACGUG